This 207-nucleotide ribosomal RNA is filed under the name uncultured bacterium. Its description in RNAcentral is "partial 16S ribosomal RNA". It matches the Rfam family "Bacterial small subunit ribosomal RNA", at positions 568 to 774 of the family's 1533-position model. The record is from RNAcentral.
UGCGUAGGCGGCGGCACAAGUCAGGUGUGAAAUCCCCCGGCUCAACCGGGGAACAGCGCUUGAAACUAGGUCGCUCGAGUGAGGUAGGGGUGUAUGGAACUUCCGGUGGAGCGGUGAAAUGUGUAGAUAUCGGAAGGAACGCCGGCGGCGAAAGCGGUACACUGGGCCUUGUCUGACGCUGAGGCACGAAAGCUAGGGAAGUGAACG